This 74-nucleotide transfer RNA is filed under the name Thalamita sima. Its description in RNAcentral is "tRNA-Val". Lineage: Eukaryota; Metazoa; Arthropoda; Malacostraca; Decapoda; Portunidae. The record is from RNAcentral.
CAAAGUAAAGCUAAAAAUAGUAUAGCGUCUCACUUACGUUGAGGAGUCUUAUUGUGCAAGUCAAUAUGCUUUGA